Mustela erminea (ermine) is the source of this 1405-nucleotide long non-coding RNA. RefSeq lists it as uncharacterized. The transcript is spliced from 2 exons. The record is from RefSeq and is a predicted model, not a curated record. Lineage: Eukaryota; Metazoa; Chordata; Mammalia; Carnivora; Mustelidae.
UUACCCCCGUACCCACUUGAGGCUAGGGGCCUGGCAUCUCUGGGAGGUUUGGGGAGCCAGCCCACCCUUGGAAAGGGCUCACCUUGAGGAAGGGAAGAAAAGGAAAGGUGAAGAAAAGAACAGUGCCUAGGCCCUUUGAGGCCUUGGGUUUUGGCUCCACAAAGACAUGGUCUGGGAAAGCAUUUCCAGCAACUUUCUCACACUUACGGUCCUGAGAGAUGCUGCCUCCUCUUGCUUUGGUAUGCUGCUUGAUGGGAUGGCCACCACAGUGCACCACUGACAGUGCUGGAAUGACACUUACCAACGUCUAAGGGUCAUCUUGCUUCUCUCGGUGUCCCAGAGCAGCCCUGAAGAAGGCAGAGGACCAAGAGGUGCAGUCAUUUAAGCCACAUACUAUUUUUAAGGGAGAGCUUCUGUGUUACAAGUUAUGGAGAGUCUUCCCCCAUUUUGAGACACUUUAGAGUAUCUUAAAAUCUUGAUUUAUAAACAGCCUAAACUUGGAGUAAGACUUGAAUGAUGUUUAGUAAGAUUAUUCCUCGGUAUGGACCUCAGGUUUUUCCUGUAUAAAAUGCAAGCAUAGGCAGUAAAAGAGAGGAAGGACCAAGGUAGUGGUCUUCAGACUUUUUAGAAAGUGAACUUUACUUUUUGUUAAGAUAAAUCUUAUGCAGAAACUCAGUAUUUAAAACUGAUAAAAGCACAGCUGUUUGCAAUACAGUGGGGAAGGGACACUUGUCCUUCUUAGAGGACGUGAAGCAGAUCUAUAAACAAAUUUUGAAAAACACUAGACUCGAUCAGCCUGAAAGAACUGAUUCUAAAGCCUUGAUUCUAGCUCCGGAACCUGUCGAUGUCUCUGUGCAGGAACGGACAGGAGAGAAGGUUAGAGAAGACAGCAAGUUCAGUGAAAGCUGAACUACCUCUCCUAGCUGCCAGUGAAGGGUUGAGGGAAAGGUUAAGCCUUUGCCCUUUAGGAAGAGUGACUCAUGGAAGAUAACAGAUAGUAUUGAGGGAGGAAGUACCGUAAUUAAAAACCAAGAAAAUUGGAAACCACAGGGAUAUUGGCCACUAAGUUCUGUCCUCCCUCAAGCCCACUUCCCAACUUGAUUUCCAAGCCCUGACAACCAGGCAUAAAGCCAUUAGUCAGGAAGUCUGGAAGAAUCUUCUCUGGAGAUUCUGACCAGCCCAAAAAGAAAAAUGUAUUUACGUCAGAGAUUUCUAACAGCCCACUGAAAUCACCCUGCAGUGAAAAUUAGGGAUGACGAAUUCCAUUCAUGUGCUUAGAGCUUCCAAGUAGCUUUUUUAGAAUCCUCCCUAAAGAUGAAGAGAUAAGCAAAGAUUACCAGAGAUCUAAAGAGAGCUUAUCAUGAAAGAUCCACAAAUCAAACAGUUAGAAAAAAGCUACUUAGAA